ACUUUUGCCCCGGGGCCUCUGUGUAGGCCCCCAGCAAUACUGAAGUGGCCAGCAUGCCCUUUUGGGAGGCAAGUAGUAUGAAGGGGGAUGCCACUAUUGAAAUGUUGCAUGCUCUGGCUUGAAAGACUGUGAAGCGUCUGCUCAGACUUUCCCCAUCAAUGCUUAACUUUUGCUUGAGCACAGACAGGCACCUCAGUAAGAACACAACUAAUUACCUCUGCAGCCCAGCCAGUCCAGCAGUCAGCAGUAUUCUCACUUGCAGCUUCUGGCUCUGCAGGGCUGAUUUGAGAGUAACUAAUUAAACACAGGUGCAGGCUAGAAGACUUGUUGAAUUAAUGUACAGUGUCUUCUUUUCAGGCGUUCGUAGCUCACGAGAAAAGAGCAAGCACCUGAUGCUACAAAUAAUAAUAGAGUUCCAGUGAUGGAGAUACAGGAAUUUCGGGGGUUUAAAUGAUGGUAAGGAGGAUAUCACAUUCUUCAGUAACAGCCCCAUGGAAUGCAAAGCAAACAGAAGAUCAGAAGCAUUAAGAGACUUCAGCCUCAACACAGAUGGAAAACAAAACAAAACAAAACAAAACAGAAGCAGCAGGUUGAAGAAUACACUUGCUUACUCCAAGCUGCCUCUACAGCUGUGUCUUCUCAGAAGUUGCCUCCAACACAGUGGCACAAGUAGACUUUUUGUGACUGAAGACUGUCAGCAGAAGACUGCACAUCAGCUGUAAUAAAAAACUUGGUUUUCUAUUAAAUUUUAUAGUGA
Molecule: long non-coding RNA, 757 nt
Filed under: Dromaius novaehollandiae (emu)
Lineage: Eukaryota; Metazoa; Chordata; Aves; Casuariiformes; Dromaiidae
Description: lncRNA (ENSDNVG00000003558.1)
Source: RNAcentral